RNAcentral lists this ribosomal RNA (253 nucleotides) under uncultured prokaryote. RNAcentral describes it as "partial 16S ribosomal RNA". It matches the Rfam family "Bacterial small subunit ribosomal RNA", at positions 525 to 777 of the family's 1533-position model. The record is from RNAcentral.
ACGAAGGGUGCAAGCGUUAAUCGGAAUUACUGGGCGUAAAGUGUGCGCAGGCGGCCGCGCAAGUCGGGUGUGAAAGCCCCGGGCUUAACUUGGGAAUUGCGCUCGAAACUACGUGGCUGGAGUAUGGCAGAGGAAGGUGGAAUUCCACGUGUAGCGGUGAAAUGCGUAGAGAUGUGGAGGAACACCGAUGGCGAAGGCAGCCUUCUGGGCCAAUACUGACGCUCAUGCACGAAAGCGUGGGGAGCAAACAGGA